GCAUCUAUGGCCGAGGGGUCGAAGGCAGAGGACUCAUAAUCCUCCUCCCAUUUAGGGCGUCGCUGGUUCAAAUCCAGCUAGAUGCA
Molecule: transfer RNA, 86 nt
Filed under: Chloropicon maureeniae
Lineage: Eukaryota; Viridiplantae; Chlorophyta; Chloropicophyceae; Chloropicales; Chloropicaceae
Description: tRNA-Ile
Rfam family: tRNA
About the family: Transfer RNA (tRNA) molecules are approximately 80 nucleotides in length. Their secondary structure includes four short double-helical elements and three loops (D, anti-codon, and T loops).
Source: RNAcentral